This 28-nucleotide small RNA is filed under the name Bombyx mori (domestic silkworm). RNAcentral describes it as "ovarian small RNA-6789". The record is from RNAcentral. Lineage: Eukaryota; Metazoa; Arthropoda; Insecta; Lepidoptera; Bombycidae.
UCAAUCUUGCUCCCAUCCGUGAAGAUUC